CAACUAUCCAAGGACACUACUAAGACUUGCGUCAGAAGCAGAGACUAUCUCUCAGCAUUCCACUUCAAUGAGAAUGCCAACCGGCCACAGUCAACAAGUGCUCUGGGAGAUCCUGCCUUUAAACUGUCCUUCCCUAAAGCGAAGAAAGGGGUAUACAGCCUCAAAUGAGGGAAAAUUGAGCCGACAUUCUGCUAUGUGUUGUCCCUGACCCAGCAACUGCAGAAGAUCACCAUUCCAGAGGAUCUUAGCGCUGAGCCAGUCAGAGCUCAGGUUGUUGCAACUGUUC
This is a long non-coding RNA of Perca flavescens (yellow perch), 286 nucleotides long. RefSeq lists it as uncharacterized. The record is from RefSeq and is a predicted model, not a curated record. The transcript has 3 exons. NCBI's taxonomy places the organism in Eukaryota, Metazoa, Chordata, Actinopteri, Perciformes, Percidae.